This 314-nucleotide unclassified non-coding RNA is filed under the name Hevea brasiliensis (rubber tree). The record is from RNAcentral. Lineage: Eukaryota; Viridiplantae; Streptophyta; Magnoliopsida; Malpighiales; Euphorbiaceae.
AUUUCCUUGUCUGCAAAGCAAUAGUUACAUCCUCACAUACUGAAACCACAUCCAUUAUCAAGAAAUCUAACAGAGAUACACUAUUCCCAAAAAAUAGAUUUCCUUUUCUUCUUAUUUUUCCGCACCAAAGAACGUUAUUAAUGACACUAUUAUUAAUUAUAGAAAUCUCAAUUUCUUCUCACAUCUUUCCACAAAGAAGAGUUUUAUCAAAAGAGCUAACAUAUCAAACAUUUGAACCUCCAGAACCAAACAAAAUUAAAGACGAAAAUGAAGUAAAACAAUGAACACAGUAUUAGGAGUGACAAUGAGAGUGA